UGUGUAGGUUGUAUAUUAAGUCUGUUGUUAAAUCUUUCGGCUUAACCGAAAAAAUCGCGAUGGAAACUGGUAUGCUAGAGGGUGAGAGAGAGGAGUGGAAUUCUCGGAGUAGCGGUAAAAUGCGUAGAUAUCGAGAGGAGCACCGAUGGCGAAAGCAGCUCCUUGGCUCAUUUCUGACAUUGAAACACGAAAGCGUGGGAGCAAACA
RNAcentral lists this ribosomal RNA (207 nucleotides) under uncultured bacterium. Its description in RNAcentral is "partial 16S ribosomal RNA". It matches the Rfam family "Bacterial small subunit ribosomal RNA", at positions 568 to 774 of the family's 1533-position model. The record is from RNAcentral.